Transfer RNA from Jaapia argillacea, 91 nucleotides. It matches the Rfam family "tRNA". Rfam says of the family: Transfer RNA (tRNA) molecules are approximately 80 nucleotides in length. Lineage: Eukaryota; Fungi; Basidiomycota; Agaricomycetes; Jaapiales; Jaapiaceae. The record is from Rfam.
GUCGGCAUAGCUAAGUGGUUAUAGCAUGCGAUUGCAGUGAUAUCAUUCGCUUAACAUCGCAGGGUCCCGUGUUCAAAUCACGGUGCUGACU